This 4045-nucleotide long non-coding RNA is filed under the name Triticum aestivum (bread wheat). Its description in RNAcentral is "long non-coding RNA (TAES_LNC014813)". The record is from RNAcentral. Lineage: Eukaryota; Viridiplantae; Streptophyta; Magnoliopsida; Poales; Poaceae.
UCCGAUGACAUGUUUAGUUAGUAGUGAUAGAGUAGCCAGACGAUGUGUGUGCAUCAACAUAGUUACAUGAGUUUGUAUGGAUUUGAGAUAUGAUAAUUGAGGUGUCUGGAUGUGGAUUACAUUAUUCAAGGGGUGCCCGGUUGGUGCUCGUGGACGCGCCCGGGCACGUCCGCGAUCCUUUGAGGGGCGGAUUUGACAAUUUCUCUACUAUUAAAGGGGGAUCGAACGUUGUGAUGGUUCAACCUCCCCUCGUUGUUCGACCACCUUGUUCGAUCCCCCCGCCUCAUACGACGGCCAUCGUGCAGUGUCCCACACGCCCGCACAAAAUCCAGCCCGCAAGCCCAAAAAACCAAGGCCAACUCAUUCGAUAUUCGGCCCAUGGACCACCAGUCAAACGAGCCAAACCCCACUAUCACACACCUAGCCAACAAACAAAACAGUUCGGCAACCCACGAACGAGGUCCAUCUACCAAAAAUCAAACCAUCGAACAAGCUCCAUCGACCCGCCAACGCACGUUGCCACCAAGGACAUAAAUGCCAGUUCUUCCUCGCGUACGAGCUCCAUCGACCCAGUUGUGUGAUCAUCACAACUACACCGCAACCUCGGCGUCCGAAACAUAACCUUCGCUCGAUGGCUGUUGCGAGGCGACGGCUGUUGCUGCAAAGGACGAAGAUCCUGUUGCGAGGCGAUGGCUGUUGCUACAAAGGAUGGAGAUCCACCUUUGUUAUAUUCAACGGUGCCCAUCAUGCCCUAGGUUUGCCAUCAUCAACUAUUUCAGCAAUGUAGUUACCUGCAUAUUACAGUAGUACUCAGAUUGCAUCUUUAACUUGAACUCCAACUACAUUGAAAAAGCAUCACAGGACAGAGGUAUCUCCAACCAGCUUUGUACCAACAGUUAAAUACCUUUCUGUCCACCGUAGUGUGUGAGUUGUGUCCCUGUUCGACUUGUGCUCUUCCUAUUGUUGCAGUGUGCUGGAAGGCUUCGGCUUUCUUAGAUUCUUACUACUUUCUGUAUAGAAGAGAAAAUGGUAUGGUAAAUAUAAUAUUUAUUGAACAAAUCUCUAAUCUGCACUAUUAGCCAAGAGCAAGAUGCCUAGCUUAAAAGACAAUAUCUCUAUUUUUUUUGUGCAACAUGCCCAGGUUAAAAGACAACAACAAUAUGCCCAGGUUAAAAGACAAUAUCUCUGUUUUUUGGCAGUAAUAAUAGCCUUGUCAGUACCCACAGCAGAACAUCAUACUUUGUUAGCUUUUUCUUGUCACUAUCUAAUCUGCACUAUUAGACACGAGCAAGAUGCCCAGGUUAAAAGACAAUAUCUCUGUUUUUUGGCGCACCAUGCCCAGGUUAAAAGACAACAACAAUAUGCCCAGGUUAAAAGACAAUAUCUCUGUUUUUAGCAGUAAUAAUAGCCUUGUCACUACCUACAGUAGAACAUCAUACUUUCUUAGAUUUUUCUUGUCACUAUCUACAUCUUAUUAUUGAUAAUAUAAUCAUAUAAAGACUGCAUGUUUAGUUUAGAACAUAUCUCUAGUAUUAAAGGGGGAUCGAACGUCGUGAUGGUUCGACCUCCACUCGUGGUUCGACCACCUCAUUCGAUCCCCCGCCUCGUAUGACAGCCAUCGCGCAGUGUCCCACAUGCCCGCACAAAAUCCAGCCCGCGACAUCUACCCGUCCUAUACUUGUUUAAGCUGGAAAUAACAAUAGACAACGUGAAAUUUCAAACAGAUGCAGGAGGAAGAUGUUUGGACAGUGACUUGCUAAAGAAGAACAAAAAUACUAAGGUGUCGUAUUUCUUUCUAAUUCAUAUGUUUUUAAAUAUGGUAAAAACAUGUGGCAUCUAAUAUCAUAUAUAGAAAUAUAAAAACUGACUUAAACUUCAAUUGCAUAGAAUCUCUUGUUAGAAAUACAUGGAUAAGAAAGUAUGUAUCUAAUAAUUAAUGAAGAACCCAAGCUGAGUGAAGCCAUCAGUGAUCUCCUCAUAUCUCUACUAUCUCAACUAUUAAAGGAUGAGUUUUUCUAGGCGACACAUACUUCGAUAUGAAGAAAAGGAACAUAAUCUGUUGAUCUGCUUUUUUCGGUACCUCUGUGAUAAGAUUUAGCACGCAACUAUCCUUAAUUUCUAACAUGUUCUUAAACAUCAAUUUCAGGCCUCAAAAUUCAAUGCAUAAGGUGAUUCCAAAGUACCAUGUACAGGAUUAGAAACAUCAACCUUAAGCUAUUUGCCAAAAGAUGCAGACCAAGCUUUGCAUUCGAUUUUUACAAAUGGUACAUCAGUAUGACUGUCACCAUUGUAGAGUACUGACAUUUAUUUUAGGUUACCUGGCAUAAAUCUGUAUGAUUCUGCCAUUGUGUUUUGCUUUCUUGAAAUGCAUUGUGGGUGUGUACAAUUCAAAAUUUGGUCAGGAUUGGUAGAUCGAACAAGAAGAGGAAGCUAGCCUCCUUGACCACAGUUAUUUUCCUUCUUGGAAGUUUCAAGACACUCAGGCACAUUCACCAAGAACACAUGAGUCACAACGUUAAGGUGUUAACCAUCUUCUAGAGUAGACUAUAACUAUACACAAUGUUAAGGCCAUGCUACUACCUUUGCCUGAUUGAGGCGUAAGUGAUUUCCUUGAUCCGAUUGAUGCUCACGCUAUGCCUUUUUUAAUAGGAACGGCUAAAAUGGUUUAAAGAAUAAAUAUUAGAAGACACUUUGCAUGUUCUACUAAAACCAAGUUUUACUAAUUAUGUCCCUAAAAAACUAUACUUUUUGUUACGCUAACAAAUUUCUGCUGGUUAGCCCAUUAAACGAGUUUAUGGGAAACUGAAUUGGCAAAAACUCCGUAUCCAAUCCAAACAACCCCAAGAAAGGUUUAAUCAUCAUCUCACUAAAUAACAACCUAAUCCUAACCGUAUACCAAUACUACUCAUCUAGCUAGCCUUAUAAUGCAAGCACAAGUUAAUUUUACUCCUCCCUAAUUAAUAGUACUCCUGAAUGACAGAUAUAACUACUCCUGAAUGACCAAUACUACUGGAGGAGUACUCCUUAACUGAAAAGAUUUAAGUUAAUUAAAGGAAAAGGCUUCAGUUUAUUUUUAUUAACAAAAAAUGUUUUUAUUUAAUUUGAGUUAACACAAAAGAUUUCAGUUAAUUACUACUGGAGGAGUAAAUUAAAAGGUUUAACUUAAUUAAAGGAAAAGGUUUGAAUUUAUUUUAAUUAAUAGAAAAAUGUUUCAGCCAAAGUUACAGUUAAAGCAGAUAAGAGAAUGCUCCUACUGUACUGAAAAAGAAGAGAGGGGAGAGGACACUACUGCACUUGCUACAGAGUAUGUAGGGGGGACUACUCAAGUAGUGCAACCAAGCAAAAUUGCAAGCUACUACUGUUGUAAGCAAAUUCUGUUAAAGCAAGUUCUUCCUACUGCAAUUUAAAGCAAGCACAACUUGCAUAAUUCACAACAAAAAGGCAGGACAAGGAAAGUGUAAUGGUGGAUGACUGAGUGAUGCUAACAAAUCAAAAAAUGGACAAUUUGUGCAGGUUGUAAACAAUUAUCCCUCUGAAUGAACGAAUGAAGGAAGCUCAUGAUUGAAUGCAAGAACAAUUCCAUGAAUGAUCUUAGCUGAAUUUGACUGAAUUGUCUUAGCUAAAUUUGACUGAAUUAUUCAGUCCAUGGAUGAUCCAAUAACAAUCAUAACAAAAUCCUUAACUGAAUUUGACUGAAUUAUGCACAAACAUUAUUCAGUCCAUGCUAAACUUUGAGAUUUCUACAGUUUUAUCUUGACUGAAUUAUGCAUAAGUAAGUUGCAGAAGCAUAACAUGGAGCAUAACAAAGCAUAACAUGGAGUACCUUCCAUGGCGACCCAGGAAGAAGCAGAGUUGGAGAAGCAUGUCCAUGUCCAUCCGGGAAGCAGCGCCUCCUGCCUAUUUCCUUGGCCAUUGUACUAUCUCCGGCGGGGGCGUAGGUGGAGGUGGAGGGUGGGGGCAUAGGCGGAGGUGGAAGACGACCAUCAGGCUACUCUCUUUCUCCUCUCCUCGCUGGUGUAGUUGGUGGCCCUUCCAUGGCGUCGCC